This 103-nucleotide non-coding RNA is filed under the name Salimicrobium jeotgali. Its description in RNAcentral is "TPP sequence". It matches the Rfam family "TPP riboswitch aptamer (THI element)". Rfam says of the family: Vitamin B(1) in its active form thiamin pyrophosphate (TPP) is an essential coenzyme that is synthesised by coupling of pyrimidine and thiazole moieties in bacteria. The previously detected thiamin-regulatory element, thi box was extended, resulting in a new, highly conserved RNA secondary structure, the THI element, which is widely distributed in eubacteria and also occurs in some archaea. Lineage: Bacteria; Bacillati; Bacillota; Bacilli; Caryophanales; Bacillaceae. The record is from Rfam by way of RNAcentral.
UUCAUGCACUGGGGGAGCCGGCUCACGGCUGAGAAGAAUUGAAUUCUGACCCUUUGGACCCGAUCUGGUUAGUACCAGCGUGGGGAAGUGCAGUCUGAAUAAA